GACGAACGCUGGCGGCGUGCUUAACACAUGCAAGUCGAACGAUGAAGCCGGAGCUUGCUCUGGUGAAUUAGUGGCGAACGGGUGAGUAACACGUGAGUAACCUGCCCAUGACUCUGGGAUAACUGCGGGAAACUGUAGCUAAUACCGGAUACGACCCUUGGAGGCAUCUCCUGAGGGUGGAAAGAAUUUCGGUCAUGGAUGGACUCGCGGCCUAUCAGCUAGUUGGUGAGGUAAAGGCUCACCAAGGCGACGACGGGUAGCCGGCCUGAGAGGGUGACCGGCCACACUGGGACUGAGACACGGCCCAGACUCCUACGGGAGGCAGCAGUGGGGAAUAUUGCACAACGGGCGCAAGCCUGAUGCAGCAACGCCGCGUGAGGGACGACGG
This 388-nucleotide ribosomal RNA is filed under the name uncultured bacterium. Its description in RNAcentral is "bacterial SSU rRNA". It matches the Rfam family "Bacterial small subunit ribosomal RNA", at positions 28 to 414 of the family's 1533-position model. The record is from RNAcentral.